Scylla paramamosain (green mud crab) is the source of this 1844-nucleotide long non-coding RNA. RefSeq lists it as uncharacterized. NCBI's taxonomy places the organism in Eukaryota, Metazoa, Arthropoda, Malacostraca, Decapoda, Portunidae. The transcript has 2 exons. The record is from RefSeq and is a predicted model, not a curated record.
UUUUGGUGUUCCACGUGCCGAGCGAAUCCGGGGAGAAGGUGACUCAGGGCAUCUCGGCGCUGCUCUCCAUGACUGUCUUCCUCAUGACCAUCAGAGUCCCCUGCCGCCCACUGAGAAGACACCGCUCGUCAUCAUAUGCUGUCGGAUCUGACUGGGCCAGAGCGGCGUACGGUAACCAGACCCUGAUGCGUCGUCCACUGGACUCGUCCUGCUGCACGUGUUGUGUACAAAUCGUCAAACAAACGUUCGAACUUCUGACUUCGACUUCGGACUGCCGCCCCCCUACCGCCCCCUUCUUCCUCACCGCCCCCCCCAGAUCUUUCCACCGCCCCCAGGGGGGCGGUACCGCCCACUUUGGGAACCACUGGUUUAUAUAGUUAAGGUAGUCUCUGUUUCUCUCUAUGUGUUUUUCUGUGUCUAUUUGUGUCUGUGUCUAUUUUUGUUACUGUGUGUGUGUGUGUGUGUGUGUGUGUGUGUGUGUUGUGUGUGUGUGUGUGUGUGUGUGUGUGUGUUCGUUUUGUUUUUUUCUGCCAGUUUUUUUUCUGUCUGUUUGUUUUUCUGUCUGUUUUUCCGUCUUUUUGUUAUCCUUAUGUAUGUUUGUGUCAAUACGUGUUUGCUUGUCUGCUUGCCACUUUGUUUGUCUGACUGCCUGCCUGCGUGUCUGUCUCUGUCUGUUUUUUGUUGUUGUUGUUGUUUUUUGUUUUUUAUCCAUGUUUCUAGAAUAUUGCGUUGUUGUUGUUGUUGUUGUUGUUGUUGUUGGUUGUGUUGUUGUUUUAUAAGUAACGAUGCCACCAUAAAUUCUAUGAAGUUAGUCCUUAAUUGUCUUAUUUAUUUAUUUAUCUUUUCUUAUUCAUUCAUUCAUUUAUUCAUUGAGCUACUCACUCAUUCAUUCAUUCACGUCGGCUGCUACGUUUUGUUUCUUAAUCAGUCACUUGACUCACCCACUCAGCCAAUCAUAUUAAUCAAUUACUCAAACUUAUUCACGGUCAUGCACUAUACAUAUCUAUUUAGCAAGUGAAUGCGGUACCUUGAUCUAUCAUUCAUUUGUUAUAGUUGUUAUUUAAUGCCACGUGUCGCUGCUGUUACUGCUCGUGUUGUUGACAGCAAUGGCGAGGAUAAAGUACCAAGUUAAUCCCUGCAAUAUUUUUUUCUCUUCACUGCGCGUUCAUCACUUAUUGCAACAGUUUUAUCUAUUCUGUUCAAAUCCUUCCUCACGUGUUGCUCUGAAUCCCGUGACGUGCUGUUCAUUUGUUGCUUGUAUGCUGACUUGCCCUGUGUCAUCAUUAGCACGGAUCAUUUCUGUGUGCUGUUAUGUAGGGCAGUGUUGUGUUGUAAUGGACAUGUGUUAUAAGGGGGCGUGUGUUGGGUUGUGGUGUGUAGUCAGAGGUCGUGUGUUGUUUUGUGUCGUUGUGUUGUGUUUGGGCAGUGGUGUUGUGUUGAGUCGUGUUGUGUGUGGGAAGUGUACUGUACUGUGUUGUAUUAUGUCGUAAGAAGGCAGUAUGUUGUUUUGUGUUGUGUUGUAAGAGGCUUGUAUUGUGAUAUGUGGAGGAAGUGUGUUGUGUUUGUUUGUGUUGUGCAGCGUUGUGUUGUACUGUAUCCUGUUAUGCUGCAAGAGAUCAGUUUAUUGUUAAUGGGCACAAAAGAAUUACGGGUAUUAUUUUUUUCUUUUAUUUUAGCUAAAGCAAGAACUAUAUCGGUCAUUGAACUGCCGAUGUGUUGAACCAAAUUAUUUGUUUUCUUUGUCAUGAUACUUGACGAUACUAAUUAUAAGCAAAGACUUCUCAAGCUAAUAUUUGUCCUUUAUAGGGGAUUUACUUAGCAGGAUGAAAGCUUCCGACCAGGAG